GUGUUUGGUUAAUUUGCUAAUGGACAUCCAAUUAUAUGGGCAUUUAGGGGAAAAUAAGAGUGAGGCUAAAGGAAUAGAAGGAAGAGGAUGUGCCUCUAGUACUCCUGUAAUCAUAGUUUCUAAACCAUUAGCUAAAGUGACCUAAAAAGUGUAUGAGGAGACAUAAGGUUAGAGAAAAAUUUUAUUACCAGAGAUAUUAUCGAAAGCACCAGAAUCAGGAAUCUAUGGUCUAAUGGAUAAAGAUUGGGUUAGAAAGGAAUUACCAGGAAAGGAAUUACUAGGUUGAGCAGUAAAGGUAAUAGACGAGGAUGAUUGUUGUUUUG
RNAcentral lists this unclassified non-coding RNA (323 nucleotides) under Hevea brasiliensis (rubber tree). Lineage: Eukaryota; Viridiplantae; Streptophyta; Magnoliopsida; Malpighiales; Euphorbiaceae. The record is from RNAcentral.